CGAGUAGUUCAGCAGGUUAGAACGCCAGCCUGUCACGCUGGAGGUCGAGGGUUCGAGCCCCUUCUC
Molecule: transfer RNA, 66 nt
Filed under: bovine gut metagenome
Rfam family: tRNA
About the family: Transfer RNA (tRNA) molecules are approximately 80 nucleotides in length. Their secondary structure includes four short double-helical elements and three loops (D, anti-codon, and T loops). Further hydrogen bonds mediate the characteristic L-shaped molecular structure. tRNAs have two regions of fundamental functional importance: the anti-codon, which is responsible for specific mRNA codon recognition, and the 3' end, to which the tRNAs corresponding amino acid is attached (by aminoacyl-tRNA synthetases). tRNAs cope with the degeneracy of the genetic code in two manners: having more than one tRNA (with a specific anti-codon) for a particular amino acid; and 'wobble' base-pairing, i.e. permitting non-standard base-pairing at the 3rd anti-codon position.
Source: RNAcentral